GAUGAACGCUGGCGGCGUGCCUAAUACAUGCAAGUCGAACGCUGGAAAUCUAGCUUGCUAGAUUGAAGGAGUGGCGAACGGGUGAGUAAUACAUAAGCAACCUACCCACGAAGACUGGGAUAAUCUCUGGAAACGGGGACUAAUACCGGAUAGGUAAUCGGAAGGCAUCUUCUGAUUAUUAAAGGUUAAAAACACUGGUGGAUGGGCUUAUGGCGCAUUAGUUAGUUGGUGAGGUAACGGCCCACCAAGACGAUGAUGCGUAGCCGGCCUGAGAGGGUGAACGGCCACAUUGGGACUGAGACACGGCCCAGACUCCUACGGGAGGCAGCAGUAGGGAAUUUUCGGCAAUGGGGGAAACCCUGACCGAGCAACGCCGCGUGAGUGAUGACGGCCUUCGGGUUGUAAAGCUCUGUUGUAAGGGAAGAACGGUAGACAGAGAAUAUCUAAAUGACGGUACCUUACCAGAAAGCCACGGCUAACUACGUG
This 486-nucleotide ribosomal RNA is filed under the name uncultured bacterium. RNAcentral's name for it is "partial 16S ribosomal RNA". It matches the Rfam family "Bacterial small subunit ribosomal RNA", at positions 28 to 507 of the family's 1533-position model. The record is from RNAcentral.